CUCGCCACGCUACUCCAUGCUGGGCGACAGAAGUGAGAACUUGUCUCAAAAAAUAAAUAAAAAUUUAAAAAUCACCUGUGGAACUUAAGUAAAAUGUGGAUUCAUAGGCCUUAGCUCUACAGCUUUUUUAACAAGCACCUUAUGGGAUUCUGCUGUUGGUAUUUCUCAGGUCUGCAGCUAGUACAGCAGGGAUUGAAUGACUUCCCAGUUAGACCCUGAGCUAGCCAUACCGUAUAUGCAAUUUCAUGUAAGCAUCUGCUAACUCCACUAGGAAUACUGUGCUGAGCCUUUGCCUUGAGAAUGCAGAGCUGAAAGAGCAGAUGGGAGAAGCAAUGUCUGAUGGAUGGGAGAUCGAGGAAGACAAGGAGGAGGGCGAGCUCAUCACAGGUGUCUGUUCCUGGACCUCAGAUGGGUUACUGGGAUCCUCUUUAGGGAAGGAGCCGUGCUGAAGAUUCAGUGAAAUGGAGAAUACAGGGAUUCUGAGAGAAUCAAUGGGACAGAAUGCAAGGGGAGAUGAGUGGAGGGUUCCACCCCUUCUCUUUUUGACCACUGAGAAAACAUUUCCUGAGAGCUCCUCU
RNAcentral lists this long non-coding RNA (578 nucleotides) under Pan troglodytes (chimpanzee). Its description in RNAcentral is "lncRNA (ENSPTRG00000054403.1)". The record is from RNAcentral. Lineage: Eukaryota; Metazoa; Chordata; Mammalia; Primates; Hominidae.